RNAcentral lists this ribosomal RNA (218 nucleotides) under uncultured Acaulospora. RNAcentral describes it as "partial small subunit ribosomal RNA". The stretch from base 33 to 218 matches the Rfam family "Eukaryotic small subunit ribosomal RNA", at positions 678 to 864 of the family's 1831-position model. The record is from RNAcentral. Lineage: Eukaryota; Fungi; Glomeromycota; Glomeromycetes; Diversisporales; Acaulosporaceae.
GGAUUUGUCAGUUGGUCGGGCUUAACUGUCCGUAUUGACUCAAUGGAUUCUUACCUUCUGAAUAACCAGCAUGCUAUUAAUUUAGUGCGUUGGGGAAGCAGAUCUAUUACCUUGAAAAAAUUAGAGUGCUUAAAGCGAGCUAGUGCUUGAAUAGAUUGGCAUGGAAUAAUAAAAUAGGACGGCAUGGUUCUAUUUUGUUGGUUUCUAGGAUUGACGUA